GUACACCGCGCUGCUCGGCAGGCGAAGCCCGGCCACCGCUCACACCUGAGGGGGACACGCUUUGGUUUCACCGCAGGCGGCAUAAAACUGCAGGGAGCGCAGUGGUGUAACUAACUUCAAGAUGCUCGAUUUGGAUACUGCCGUACCCUGUUUCCAGCAGAGUGAGGAAAGCCCGAGUGCUCUGCGGUGAGAGCUGGCAGGCAGAGGAGAGCAGCACAGGUCACAGCAGCACAGCAGCACUGCCACCAGAGCCCUGCGAGGGACCACGCACAGUGGCCAUUCCCUUCAGGAUGCAAAGAACAGCAGAAGUCAGGCAACUUGGGCUUAACUGCUUCUGCUCAUUGACUCUUUUUUCCACUUUAAUAUCCUUUACUGUGAGAAAAAUAAACAAGUGUGGACUCCGUACAGGAUUUUUAGGUUUUUAAAUUUGGAGACUGCAGCAGACCUUUUGCUUCCUUUCAGUUAUCCCGAUCAAGAGAUAGUGGUUGGAAAAGAAGAUCUCAGAACAGAUUUGGGGUCCAAUGGUGUUGGAAGAAUAUCCAGUUAACCCAUUUCCAUCUACAGGAAUUUCUUCAACUAACUUUUUUCAUCUUCCCAUUCUUAAUCCCAUCAAGUGUUACGCCAGCUAAUUCUCUCUUUUUCCAAGCACAAGUAUUAUUAAUUAAUCAGAAUAGAGUCCUAUAAAUGCUCAUAUUUCAACUUUAUAGAUCAUGCUGGCUACCUCUGCCAUUAAUAAAACUACUUGCACAAUGUGGAAUCAAUGUACAAAGCCCCUAUCUGUUAGAACCGAGCCAUCAUACUCCAUUAAGUUCCAGUCAGAUUACAGCUUCUCUGUACCUUGUUCCACACCACAUGUCAGUCUAAUACUGCUAUACUCCUUUUUGGUCAAAUAUUAAUAUAUUAGUUUUAGCUUCUAAUAUUACCUUCCCUAUGAACUUGCUACAGAGAGGCCACGCUCAAUACCACUGAUCCCUCGAGACCAGUCUGAGGGGGAUCUGGUGUCCAGUGUAGCUGUUCAGGAUACUUCCUGAGACUCGUAAGACAGGUUCCUAAAGCAGUGGUAAAACUGCUAAAGUGGUAGUGGUAAAGGGCAUUCACAACUAAUUACAGGUAAAUUCUUGACAAAUUUGAGAGCAAACCACAAAAAUCUUAACUCCAAUGCUAGCCAUGUGACCAAAGAGCUCUGUGAGUCAAGUACCCCAUGGAAGGGAUAUUUUAACAUACUUUAAUCUUCACAAGUUUCCAUAAAACUACCUUCAAGUCAGCCAAGACACAGCUAUGCCAUAUCCUGCAACAUCAAGUAUCAUGAAGAUGCUGCAGUCUCUCCCUCAAUAUAUCCCACUUGCUGCAUAACUGCUCCCAAUACCUGACAACAUUUUUCCAAUUGUUGGUUCAGCAGGUUAGAGGAAGCUGUCUUCUGGCAGAGAAAGACAAAUGCUAAUACAGCUAUACCCUUUCCUAGCAAAUAAUUUAUCUGAAUUAGAUUAAGCUUUUCUGGUCUCCUCCACCUACCCAGGGCUUGGGUUAAAUUCCAGGGUUACCUACCCAGCCCCUGCUGUACAAACGGGACACAGCUGAGUAAACAGCUCUGCCCUCCUAACAUACAGCAGUGGGACUCAGAAAAAUGAACAGGCUGAUUCCUUGGACUCCUGACACCCCUACAACAGUGACCGUUAUAACUGAUACUCAAAGUCAGUCUUGAAUGAUAAAGGCAGAUACUAUAACUUUAAAAUACAUACAGAGGUUAAUUUAGAGGGCAUUUGUACAGACAGCCCAUCAAACAUAACUAGGAAGUCAGAUGAGCAAGUGAGAAAACUGUGACUUCUGCUUCAACAUACUUAAUCUGACAUUGCUUUAACUAUAAUAUUUAUCAAUUUAGGAUACAGCACUACAGAAAAAUAUUGAGAAGUUUUUCUAAAGAGUACCAAGAGUUCUCCUCUGCUCUCCACAGUGUACAGUGAAAUACAUAUUGACACUGAGUGCAUCAUCAGAUCUGUAUUGAAACCACAUUGAUAACACAACUUAAUUCAAUUCUUAGAAACAGCACAUUGUCAACUCUGAUAGCAGCACAAGUAAAGCAUUGUUAUUCUACAAAGCCUUGAAACCUGUUUUUUUAAAACAUUUCAACUCUGAAUUUGGCUUCUGCUUGACUAAUAGAUUUUUAAAAAGCCUACUAGUAUUCAGGGCCUUUUGUUAGAAUAGAUUUGAUAAGAUUUUAGAAGUAAAUACCAAUAAACAGUAGAGGUUUAGUUGUUUGGGGUUUUUUCUUUCAGCCAUUAUCUUUACAAAUAUGAACUUGGUGUUAAGCAACUUCUUAAGUCAGCAGUGUAGGCUAAGGAUGGCAACCAAUUGACAAAGAAUGCCUGAAACUAUAUUUGUCUGAUUAAGUUCCUUUAGAUAAAACCAACUAUUUAUCUACAAACAACUUAUGUGUCAAUCACGAUUCUCAAAAAUCCUACAAAACUAAAACCUUACAAAGAGAGGAUGAAGAACUAAAAUUUCCUAUCCCCAAGAUACGAAGAACAGUCAUGAGCUCAUCAGGUACUGGUUUUAUAGCCUCCCCCUGUUUAACAGGCAGUGAAGUCCUUAUCUCUUUCUACAGUAUAACAACCAUCUUCUCACCCUCCCCCCUCCACUGAAGGAAUAUCAUACCAGCAAGCUCCUCUUUGGCAGUUCUAUGCAUGUCUGAUUAAACAGAGCAGUUUUUCA
Molecule: long non-coding RNA, 2709 nt
Organism: Cyanistes caeruleus (blue tit)
Lineage: Eukaryota; Metazoa; Chordata; Aves; Passeriformes; Paridae
Source: RefSeq, a predicted model, not a curated record